This 777-nucleotide long non-coding RNA is filed under the name Capsicum annuum. RNAcentral describes it as "long non-coding RNA (CANN_LNC015437)". The record is from RNAcentral. Lineage: Eukaryota; Viridiplantae; Streptophyta; Magnoliopsida; Solanales; Solanaceae.
AGCCUUACCUCGACCACUCUCUCCCAGAUCUUCAUAGAGUGACUCAAUAACUUAAUCCCCCUAUAGUUAUUGCAACUCUGAAUGUCCCCCUUAUUCUUAUAGAGAGGGACCAUGGUACUUCACCUCUACGCCUCGGGCAUCUUUGCCAUCUUGAAGAUUUCAUUAAACAAUCCCGUCAACCACCUUACACCAGCCUCUCCAACGAACAUCCAAAACUUCACCGGUAUCUCAUCCGGCCCCGUCGCCCUACCCCUUCGCAUCCUGCGGACAGCCUGUCUGACCUCUUCUACCUUAAAACGUCUACAAUAGCUAAAAUCCCGACAUUCCUCUGAGUGCUCCAGUUCCCCUAACACAAUAUCUCUAUCUCCUUCUUCAUUCAAGAGCCUAUGAAAAUACGACUGCCAUCUCUUCUUAAUGUGGCCGUCCUCCACCAACACUCUACCGUCCUCCCCCUUAAUGCACCUCACCUGAUCGAGGUCACGACCCUUUCUUUCCCUCGCCUUAGUAAGUCUAAACAACUUUUUCUCCCCUCCUUUCUCCUAUAACCCUGCAUACAAGCUCUCAAAAGCGGCCGUCUUAGCUGCCGAGACUACUGACUUCGCCUCCUUCCUCGCUAGCUUGUACUCUUUCCUGUUUACCCGCUUCUCCUCUUCGUCCUUACUUUCCACCAACUUAGCAUACGCCCCUUUCUUGGUCCCCACUUUCUUCUCCACCUCUUCAUUCCACCACUGAUCCCCCCGACGGUGCCCGGCCCGGCCCCUAGAAACACCCAACACC